RNAcentral lists this long non-coding RNA (521 nucleotides) under Ictidomys tridecemlineatus (thirteen-lined ground squirrel). Its description in RNAcentral is "lncRNA (ENSSTOG00000032784.1)". Lineage: Eukaryota; Metazoa; Chordata; Mammalia; Rodentia; Sciuridae. The record is from RNAcentral.
GCAUUGUUACAGGUUCUGCUCCAGAAUUAUACACCAGGGAACAAGAUGGACAAACCCUGUUCUCACAGAGCUGACUUGCAGGUGACAUUGCUCAGGACAAGGACGAGAGAAAGAACAAAUCACGGUCGGAGAGGAGGAAGCUACCUUGUUUUUCAGUUUGAAGUUCAGGGCAGAGAAAACCAGGUGGAUGGAAGGGCUGCCAGUCAUCCCGUUGCCCUGCCCCCUUCACCUGUACACAAAGGAAGGAGGAAAAGAAGGAACGUGCAAGGAACUCAGAGCUGAAAUCUCCAAAAGGAAUCAAGAAUAUCAGUGUUGGAGCGUCGUAUAGAUCAUCUCCUGUCCCACUGGUUGCCCCCCUACUAUGGUGGAUACCCCCAGGGAUGCUCUUCCCAAGGGGACCCCUCUGCCAUCACAAUUACUAAAUGAAGGACCUAAGUGGCAGGAAAACUUAGUCUGGGUUAUUUCAGUGGAAUCCUGGUAGGUGACACCAAUUCUAUUAAUAAAAUUCUUGGAACGAGAAG